This 461-nucleotide ribosomal RNA is filed under the name uncultured bacterium. RNAcentral's name for it is "bacterial SSU rRNA". It matches the Rfam family "Bacterial small subunit ribosomal RNA", at positions 954 to 1392 of the family's 1533-position model. The record is from RNAcentral.
UUGCCCUCCCCCCACCGACCUGCAUAACGCGAAGAACCUUACCAGAUCUUGACAUCCCUCUGACCGCCGCAGAGAUGUGGCUUCCCUUCCGGGGCAGAGGAGACAGGUGGUGCAUGGUUGUCGUCAGCUCGUGUCGUGAGAUGUUGGGUUAAGUCCCGCAACGAGCGCAACCCUUGAUCUUAGUUGCCAGCACUUCGGGUGGGCACUCUAAGGUGACUGCCGGUGACAAACCGGAGGAAGGUGGGGAUGACGUCAAAUCAUCAUGCCCCUUAUGACCUGGGCUACACACGUACUACAAUGGCCAGUACAACGGGAAGCGAAGCUGCGAGGUGGAGCCAAUCCUAUCAAAGCUGGUCUCAGUUCGGAUUGCAGGCUGCAACUCGCCUGCAUGAAGUCGGAGUUGCUAGUAAUCGCGGAUCAGCAUGCCGCGGUGAAUACGUUCCCGGGUCUUGUACACACCG